This 497-nucleotide ribosomal RNA is filed under the name uncultured bacterium. RNAcentral describes it as "partial 16S ribosomal RNA". It matches the Rfam family "Bacterial small subunit ribosomal RNA", at positions 28 to 507 of the family's 1533-position model. The record is from RNAcentral.
GAUGAACGCUGGCGGCGUGCCUAAUACAUGCAAGUCGAGCGAACAGAUGAGGAGCUUGCUCCUCUGACGUUAGCGGCGGACGGGUGAGUAACACGUGGAUAACCUACCUCUAAUACUGGGGUAACUUCGGGAAACCGGAGCUAAUACCGGAUAAUAUAUUGAACCGCAUGGUUCAAUAGUGAAAGACGGUUUUGCUGUCACUUAUAGAUGGAUCCGCGCCGCAUUAGCUAGUUGGUAAGGUAACGGCUUACCAAGGCAACGAUGCGUAGCCGACCUGAGAGGGUGAUCGGCCACACUGGAACUGAGACACGGUCCAGACUCCUACGGGAGGCAGCAGUAGGGAAUCUUGCGCAAUGGGCGAAAGCCUGACGGAGCAACGCCGCGUGAGUGAUGAAGGUCUUCGGAUCGUAAAACUCUGUUAUUAGGGAAGAACAAAUGUGUAAGUAACUAUGCACGUCUUGACGGUACCUAAUCAGAAAGCCACGGCUAACUACGUG